RNAcentral lists this ribosomal RNA (678 nucleotides) under bacterium SL5.5. RNAcentral describes it as "bacterial SSU rRNA". It matches the Rfam family "Bacterial small subunit ribosomal RNA", at positions 57 to 749 of the family's 1533-position model. The record is from RNAcentral.
GCAGUCGAACGAUGAUCCGGUGCUUGCACCGGGGAUUAGUGGCGAACGGGUGAGUAACACGUGAGUAACCUGCCCUUGACUCUGGGAUAAGCCUGGGAAACCGGGUCUAAUACCGGAUACGACCUUUCACCGCAUGGUGGUUGGUGGAAAGAUUUUUUGGUUUUGGAUGGACUCGCGGCCUAUCAGCUUGUUGGUGAGGUAAUGGCUCACCAAGGCGACGACGGGUAGCCGGCCUGAGAGGGUGACCGGCCACACUGGGACUGAGACACGGCCCAGACUCCUACGGGAGGCAGCAGUGGGGAAUAUUGCACAAUGGGCGAAAGCCUGAUGCAGCGACGCCGCGUGAGGGAUGACGGCCUUCGGGUUGUAAACCUCUUUCAGCAGGGAAGAAGCGAAAGUGACGGUACCUGCAGAAGAAGCGCCGGCUAACUACGUGCCAGCAGCCGCGGUAAUACGUAGGGCGCAAGCGUUGUCCGGAAUUAUUGGGCGUAAAGAGCUCGUAGGCGGUUUGUCGCGUCUGCUGUGAAAGCCCGGGGCUCAACCCCGGGUCUGCAGUGGGUACGGGCAGACUAGAGUGCAGUAGGGGAGACUGGAAUUCCUGGUGUAGCGGUGAAAUGCGCAGAUAUCAGGAGGAACACCGAUGGCGAAGGCAGGUCUCUGGGCUGUAACUGACGCUGA